Molecule: ribosomal RNA, 431 nt
Filed under: uncultured bacterium
Lineage: Bacteria
Description: partial 16S ribosomal RNA
Rfam family: Bacterial small subunit ribosomal RNA
Source: RNAcentral
CCUACGGGAGGCUGCAGUGGGGAAUAUUGGACAAUGGGGGCAACCCUGAUCCAGCAAUACCGCGUGUGUGAAGAAGGCCUUCGGGUUGUAAAGCACUUUAGGCGGGGAAGCGGUACCCGCAGAAUAAGCACCGGCUAACUCUGUGCCAGCAGCCGCGGUAAUACAGAGGGUGCAAGCGUUAAUCGGAAUUACUGGGCGUAAAGGGCGCGUAGGUGGUUGCGUAAGUGAGAUGUGAAAUCCCCGGGCUUAACCUGGGACGUGCAUCUUAUACUGCGUAACUGGAGUACAAGAGAGGGUAGUGGAAUUUCCGGUGUAGCGGUGAAAUGCGUAGAUAUCGGAAGGAACACCAGUGGCGAAGGCGGCUACCUGCUGAUACUGACACUGAGGCGCGAGAGCGUGGGGAGCAAACAGGAUUAGAUACCCCGGUAGUC